CACAUGCAGCGAGCGUAGGUUUCCUUCGGGAGACUGAGAGCGGCGACGGGUCGGGAACACGUGUGCAACCUGCCUUUAUCAGGGGGAUAGCCUUUCGAAAGGAAGAUUAAUACCCCAUAAUAUAUUUGAUGGCAUCAUUAGAUAUUGAAAACUACGGUGGAUAGAGAUGGGCACGCGCAGGAUUAGAUAGUUGGUAGGGUAACGGCCUACCAAGUCAACGAUCCUUAGGGGGCCUGAGAGGGUGAUCCCCCACACUGGUACUGAGACACGGACCAGACUCCUACGGGAGGCAGCAGUGAGGAAUAUUGGACAAUGGGUGAGAGCCUGAUCCAGCCAUCCCGCGUGAAGGACGACGGCCCUAUGGGUUGUAAACUUCUUUUGUAUAGGGAUAAACCUUUCCACGUGUGGAAAGCUGAAGGUACUAUACGAAUAAGCACCGGCUAACUCCGUGCCAGCAGCCGCGGUAAUACGGAGGGUGCAAGCGUUAUCCGGAUUUAUUGGGUUUAAAGGGUCCGUAGCUGAUCUGUAAGUCAGUGGUGAAAUCUCACAGCUCAACUGUGAAACUGCCAUUGAUACUGCAAGUCUUGAGUGUUGUUGAAGUAGCUGGAAUAAGUGUGUAGCGGUGAAAUGC
RNAcentral lists this ribosomal RNA (631 nucleotides) under bacterium tet-w-47. Its description in RNAcentral is "bacterial SSU rRNA". It matches the Rfam family "Bacterial small subunit ribosomal RNA", at positions 52 to 689 of the family's 1533-position model. The record is from RNAcentral.